Molecule: ribosomal RNA, 321 nt
Filed under: uncultured eukaryote
Lineage: Eukaryota
Description: partial 18S ribosomal RNA
Rfam family: Eukaryotic small subunit ribosomal RNA
Source: RNAcentral
CCCUUAGAUGUCCUGGGCCGCACGCGCGCUACACUGACAUGUUCAACAAGCCUCCUAGUUCGACAGGAUUUGGGAAAUCUUUGAACGCAUGUCGUGAUAGGGAUAGAUCAUUGCAAUUAUUGAUCUUGAACGAGGAAUUCCUAGUAAACGCGAGUCAUCAGCUCGCAUUGAUUACGUCCCUGCCCUUUGUACACACCGCCCGUCGCACCUACCGAUUGAAUGUUUCGGUGAAGAUUCCGGAUAGGACUUUUUUGAUUUAUUUCAAUUCUGUCUUAAAAGCUAUCUAAACCUCAACAUUUAGAGGAAGGUGAGGUCGUAACA